Molecule: ribosomal RNA, 253 nt
Filed under: uncultured bacterium
Lineage: Bacteria
Description: partial 16S ribosomal RNA
Rfam family: Bacterial small subunit ribosomal RNA
Source: RNAcentral
UACGGGGGGGGCAAGCGUUGUUCGGAAUUACUGGGCGUAAAGGGCUCGUAGGCGGCCAACUAAGUCGGACGUGAAAUCCCUCGGCUUAACCGGGGAACUGCGUCCGAUACUGGAUGGCUCGAGUUUGGGAGAGGGAUGCGGAAUUCCAGGUGUAGCGGUGAAAUGCGUAGAUAUCUGGAGGAACACCAAUGGCGAAGGCAGCUCGCUGGGACGUGACUGACGCUGAGACGCGAAAGCGUGGGGAGCAAACAGG